UACAAAAGGUAAUGUUACAAAACACACUGUAUGAGAUUUCUAGAGAUAAACGUGCCAGAAAGGUAGUGAUGAUAGAUGAGCUGACCACUUAACCAUCACCACCAAUAUAACUAAAAGUUCACCAUCAGUUGUUUUCAAUUCCCACAAUGAAAUAACAUUCAACAUUUCACUUAAUCCUCAUUAUCUCUCUAAAUUAGUAAAGGCUGCCAACCAUUACUCCCAUUCCUAUAUAAAAGACUUGAUGACUAAUGGAGGAUUUUUGUUUUGUUUUAUUCAUAGGUACCAACUGGUUAAUCUGAGAGAAAGACAACACAGGGCAGGCAAGUUCUAAGUCUCAGCAACUGCUGAGAGGGAGGAGACAGAAGAGGAAGAAAGUCCCAUGCCUUGGGUUCAGCAGGCAGCUGCCGUGGGAGGAGCUGGAGACACAGAGUAUCCAGACUGUGGAUGGAUCCAGAACCUUGGAUUCUUACACAGGCAAGCUGAAACCCAAGUUGCCAUCAACAAUGAAGCCAAAAGAGCCUACCCACUCUGAACCAAUCAGCCUCUGGCUAGAAAUUCCCCAUAUUUCCAGUAUUUUCUACCUUGUUUACUUCCAAGAGCCUUUUCUGCUUGGGCAUUUUGCCGAGCCCCAAGACGAGGCUACACUCUGACCUCCUAGGACCUAUGCGGACGUGAGUUCUAAGCCAGCCCAGAAGCUUCAAAGCUCAUGUGCUCUUCACUGGGACACAGCAGAGAGAAGUGCCACCACUGUUGCUGAGUUACACUACAAUCACAAAGCCACUGGUAUUCCCAAUUCUACUACUGUCUCCUUGGCUAAAACUGCCAUCAAUACAGCAGAAACCACCUAACUGGUUUCCUUCCUCCCAGGCUGUAGCUCUAACAACCCGGAGAAUCUUGACGAUUCCAUAAAACCUCUUAGCUGCCUACAUCUGCCCCAAAGUCUUGAUGCCCCUUGCACUCAUUAUCACCUCAUCCCAGCUGACUAGUCAAGGGCAGAAAACUGAGUCGCCUAUUCAUUCUUUCACUCAAAUAUUUGUCAGUGCCUACUAUGGUCCAAAUGCUGUCUUGCUGCAACAUGUACCUCUAAUGACAAUGAAACCUAUGAAGAGCAGAGGAAGGGAAGCUGCUAUCUUUAGAGGCCAGGGUGUCCAUGAAAUGGAAAGGCUGUAGAAGCAAGUUCUCGGUCGGGCGUUGGUAGCGUACACCUUUAAUCCCAGCACUCG
Molecule: non-coding RNA, 1223 nt
Organism: Cricetulus griseus (Chinese hamster)
Lineage: Eukaryota; Metazoa; Chordata; Mammalia; Rodentia; Cricetidae
Source: RefSeq, a predicted model, not a curated record